Molecule: ribosomal RNA, 492 nt
Filed under: uncultured bacterium
Lineage: Bacteria
Description: partial 16S ribosomal RNA
Rfam family: Bacterial small subunit ribosomal RNA
Source: RNAcentral
AGCGAACGCUGGCGGCAGGCCUAACACAUGCAAGUCGAACGGCAGCACAGUAAGAGCUUGCUCUUACGGGUGGCGAGUGGCGGACGGGUGAGGAAUACAUCGGAAUCUACUUUUUCGGGGGGGAUAACGUAGGGAAACUUACGCUAAUACCGCAUACGACCUACGGGUGAAUGCAGGGGAUCUUCGGACCUUGCGCGAUUGAAGGAGCCGAUGUGGGAUUUGCUAGUUGGGGGGGUAAAGGCCCACCAAGGCGACGAUCCGUAGCUGGUCUGAGAGGAUGGUCGGCAACACUGGAACUGGACCACGGUCAAGACUCCUACGGGAGGCAGCAGAGGGGAAUAUUGGACAAUGGGGGCAAGCCUGAUCCAGCCAUACCGCGUGGGUGAAGAAGGCCUUCGGGUUGUAAAGCCCUUUUGUUGGGAAAGAAGAGCAGCAGGUUGAUACGCCGCUGUUCUGACGGUACUCAAAGAAUAAGCACCGGCUAACUUCGUG